Long non-coding RNA from Chelonia mydas (Green sea turtle), 235 nucleotides. RefSeq lists it as uncharacterized. Lineage: Eukaryota; Metazoa; Chordata; Testudines; Cheloniidae. The record is from RefSeq and is a predicted model, not a curated record. The transcript has 2 exons.
CGGCGAGAACCGACGCCCAGCGCGCACCGGUGAGUUCACCGGGGCCUUGGAGGAGACGCGAUUUGAUCGACCCCCGGAGGGCACAACGGUGCAACGCACUCAUAUAGUGGAGAAGCAGUUGUGGACGGCGGUGAAGAACCGGCCCCUUAGACAUGGGGGAGGAGCAGCUGCAGGCCACGGUGAAGAACCGGUCCCUUGGAUAAGGUAUACCAAGGAUUCCCAGCCUCUCCCCUUG